AUACGGAGGGGGCUGGCGUUGUUCGGAAUUACUGGGCGUAAAGCGUACGUAGGCGGACUGAUCAGUUGGGGGUGAAAUCCCAGGGCUUAACCCUGGAACUGCCUUCAAUACUGUCAGUCUUGAGUUUGGGAGAGGUGAGUGGAAUUCCUAGUGUAGAGGUGAAAUUCAUAGAUAUUAGGAGGAACACCAGUGGCGAAGGCGGCUCACUGGCCCAUUACUGACGCUGAGGUACGAAAGCGUGGGGAGCAAACAGGAUUAGAGACCCCAGUAGUCC
RNAcentral lists this ribosomal RNA (274 nucleotides) under uncultured bacterium. RNAcentral's name for it is "partial 16S ribosomal RNA". It matches the Rfam family "Bacterial small subunit ribosomal RNA", at positions 523 to 796 of the family's 1533-position model. The record is from RNAcentral.